Molecule: non-coding RNA, 752 nt
Filed under: Ceriagrion fallax
Lineage: Eukaryota; Metazoa; Arthropoda; Insecta; Odonata; Coenagrionidae
Source: RNAcentral
UGAGAGUUUUAUUCUUGCUAAAUGAUCUUUUUAUUUUCAUGUUAUAUACUAUUUUGGUUUUCUAAAAGAUUUAAUUUGUAGUGAUAAAUAUUGUUGUUCAAGUUAUUUUGGAGACAGUGAAUUUUUUAUUUCUGGUUAAAUUCGUGCCAGCAGCCGCGGUUAUACGAUUGGAGAAAAAGAUUAUUAUUAGUUGGUAGUAUAUUUUUUUUUAUUUUAUUAUCUUUUUAUUUUUUAGGUGGAAUUUAUAUUUACUUUUAAUAUAUUUAUUUUUAUUCUAUGAAACUUAAAUAUUAAACAAGGAUUAGAUACCCUUUUAUAUUAAGUGUUAACUUUUCUACUUGGGUAGUAUUAGUUAUGUUCUUGAAACCCAAAGAAUUUGGCGGUAUUUUAUUCUUUCCAGAGGAACCUGUUCUAUAAUUGAUAUUCCACGAUUUUAUUUACUUAAAUUUGUAUUCAGUUUUUAUACCUCCGUCAUAAGAAUAUUUUUUUAGAAUAAAUUUUCUUAAUUAUUUAAUAUAAAAAUGUCAGGUCAAGGUUAAGCUAAUAUUUAAGGAGAAAUGGGUUACAAUAAAUUUAUUUAUAUGAAUUACUAUUUUUAUACUUGGUUUGAAGGUGGAUUUGGAAGUAAAUUAAUUUAUUUAAUUUUUUGAUUUUAGCUCUAAAAUAUGCACACAUCGCCCGUCGCUCUCAUAUUAAAAUGAGAUAAGUCGUAACAUAGUAGAUGUAUCGGAAGGUGUAUCUAGAUAGUAAAU